GAGAAGCGCACGGGUCCCGGUCGCCUGGGAAACCGCGUGACAACAAGAUGGCGGCGCCGCGGGACGGCUCGGUGGCCCUGCGUGGGAGCUCCUGACAGCUAAAAUCUAGAAGCAGAACUAUGAGCUCGCCUUUGGCCUCCCUUGGCAAGACCCGAAGAGUCCCCCUGGAGUCAGAGCCUGUGAAUCCAGGGAGGCGAGGGAUAAAAAUCUACGGAGAUGAAGACGAGGUAGAUAUGCUGAAUGACGGACGUGGCUCAGAAGAAAGGAUCUCUGUCCCUUCCUGCUAUGGAGGUAUAGGUGCUCCAGUGAGUAGGCAAGUCCCUGUAUUCCAUGACUCGGAGCUGGUGGCCACCCUGUCGAGGAAGUUGCGGGACCUGGAACAGCAAGUGAAGGCUCAGACUGAUGAGCUGCUGUCCAAGGAUCGGAAGAUACGGGCCCUGGAGGAAAUGUUGCAGACCCUCCGGGAGCACCAGGGCAAGGUCACCCUGCAGCGGCAGAAGCAGCUGGAGACCAUGUGCUUGCGGCUGCAGCGGCAGGUGGGGGAGAUGGAGCGGUUCCUCAGUGACUACGGGCUGCAGUGGGUGGGCGAGCCCGGGGACCAGGAGGACUCAGAAGACAACUCAGACUCAGAGGAUGGCAACACAGACUGGAUGACAGCCAAGAAGUUCUGGAAGCCAGGGGACUCGUUGGCGCCCCCCGAGGUGGACUUUGACAGGCUCCUGGCCAGCCUGAAGGAUCUCAGUGAGCUGGUGGUAGAAGGUGACACCCAGGUGACACCAAUGCCCGGGGGAGCACGGCUCCAUGUCCUUGAGCCCAUCCCACUGAAGCUCUAUCGGAAUGGCCUCAUGAUGUUCGAUGGGCCCUUCCGGCCCUUCCAUGACCCCUCCACACAGCGCUGCCUCCGAGACAUUCUGGACGGCUUCUUCCCCUCAGAGCUCCAGCGACUGUACCCUGACGGGGUCCCCUUUAAGGUCAGUGAUCUGCGCAAUCAGGUCUACCCGGAGAAUAGGCUGGAACUGUUCCCAGGUGAGGGCCGCGUGGUGGGCUGGCAGAGGAUUCGCAAGCCCAUGGACAGGAUGGAGCCCCCAGGCUCCAGGAUGACUGCUGAGAAGUUUCUGAACAGGCUCCCCAAGUUUGUGAUCCGGCGAGGCGAGGUGAUUGACAUCCGGGGCCCCAUCCGGGACACCCUGCAGAACUGCUGCCCAUUGCCUGCCCGGAUCCAGGAGAUUGUGGUGGAGACACCAGCCUUGGCUGCUGAGCGUGAGAGGUCCACAGGAGCCAGGAAUCCCCCGAGUCACAGGCGCCCCUGCUCUCCAUGCUGCGUAUCAAGUCUGAGAAUGGCGAGCAGGCCUUCUUGCUGAUGAUGCGGCCCGAGGACACUGUUGGCGAUGUGCGCACCCUGCUUGCACAGGCCAGAGCCGUGGACGCCACGACCUUCGAGAUCAUCAGUACAUUCCCACCCACGGUCUACCACGAUGACACGGUCACGCUGCAGGCCGCAGGCUUGGUGCCCAACGCAGCGCUGCUGCUUCGGGCUAGCCGGGCCCCACCGCCUGCCCCAGGCCCUGGCCCCUGAUCCAAAUAAAGCGCCCGCUCCCACACUG
RNA transcript from Leopardus geoffroyi (Geoffroy's cat), 1604 nucleotides. It is a transcript of the gene named UBX domain protein 11, with no coding region annotated. The record is from RefSeq and is a predicted model, not a curated record. NCBI's taxonomy places the organism in Eukaryota, Metazoa, Chordata, Mammalia, Carnivora, Felidae. The transcript has 15 exons.